UACGUAGGGUGCGAGCGUUAUUCGGAAUUACUGGGCGUAAAGCGUGCGCAGGCGGUGAUGUAAGACCGAUGUGAAAUCCCCGGGCUUAACCUGGGAAUGGCAUUCGGGACUGCAAGGCUGGAGUGCGGCAGAGGAGACUGGAAUUCCUGGUGUAGCAGUGAAAUGCGUAGAUAUCAGGAGGAACACCGAUGGCGAAGGCAGGUCUCUGGGCUGACACUGACGCUCAUGCACGAAAGCGUGGGGAGCAAACAGG
RNAcentral lists this ribosomal RNA (253 nucleotides) under uncultured bacterium. RNAcentral describes it as "partial 16S ribosomal RNA". It matches the Rfam family "Bacterial small subunit ribosomal RNA", at positions 524 to 776 of the family's 1533-position model. The record is from RNAcentral.